ACUGGCGGCCUGCGCAAUAAUAUAUCAUCAAGUUCUCAUGCUCAUUACUUAGCCGAUGAGAUAUGAUCCCAACACCGAGUGAAGAAUGAUGAAGUUGAUGACCCGCUAUUCUCUCUGUGUUUCUCUCUUGAUCUUCAUCCCCACACUCACACACUCUGCGAAUUCAAGCGCCAACUAUUUGACCACUCAACAACUCUGGUUCUCUCAAACCCUCGAUCAUUACUCUCCCUAUUCGCAGGAUCGGAGCCAAUUCCAGCAAAGAUACUACGAGUUCCUUGACUUUUUCCGUAGUCCAGAUGGACCUAUUUUUAUGGUAAUUUGUGGUGAAUAUACAUGCAAGGGGAUCAAAAACGACUAUAUUGCUGUUUUGGCAAAGAAGUUUGGAGCAGCUGUGGUUUCCCUUGAGCAUCGCUAUUAUGGAAAGAGUUCUCCGUUUAAACAGCUCACAACACAAAAUUUGAGAUAUCUUUCAUCCAAGCAAGCACUCUUUGAUUUGGCUGUUUUUCGCCAGAGUUAUCAGGAAUCUUUAAAUGCAAAGCUUAAUAGAACAAAAGAAGAAAAUCCAUGGUUUGUUUUUGGUGUCUCAUAUCCUGGAGCACUGAGUGCAUGGUUUCGUCUUAAGUUUCCACAUUUAACAUGUGGAAGUCUUGCAAGCUCUGCAGUUGUUCUUGCUGUUUAUAACUUCACAGAGUUUGAUCAGCAGGUUGGUGAGUCGGCAGGUCCUGAAUGUAAAGCAGCAUUACAAGAAACCACUAAACUCGUCGAUCAAAAACUAGUAACUAAUGGAAAGGCAUUAAAGGCAUCUUUCGAUGCAACUGAUCUCAGAAUUGAUGGUGAUUUCCUGUACUUUUUGGCAGAUGCUGCUGCUACAGCGUUUCAAUAUGGAAAUCCAGAUAAAUUAUGCAAGCCUCUUGUUGAGGCAAAAAAGGCUGGGGAUGAUUUGGUGGAUGCUUAUGCCAAAUAUGUAAAAGAGUAUUACCUUGGAGACUUUGGUGCUAGCGUACAAUCUUACAACCAGAAUUACUUGAAAAACACUGCUGCUAGUGAAGACAGUUCUGAUAGACUGUGGUGGUUUCAAGUUUGCACCGAAGUAGCAUACUUUCAAGUGGCUCCCUCUAAUGAUAGUGUGCGCUCCUCAAAAGUUGAUACAAGGUACCAUUUGGACCUCUGCAAAAAUGUAUUUGGAGAAGGCAUCUUUCCUGAUGUUAAUUCAACUAAUAUAUACUAUGGAGGCACCAAAAUUGCUGGUUCAAAGAUAGUUUUUACAAAUGGUUCCCAGGAUCCUUGGCGCCGUGCAUCAAAACAAGCGUCAUCCCCUGACAUGCCUUCCUAUACAAUCACGUGUUCUAAUUGCGGCCAUGGAACUGACAUGCGUGGAUGUCCUCAAUCUCCGUUUAACAUUGAAGGUAAUGAGAAGAACUGCACCUCCCCUGAUGCAGUCCACAAAGUCCGGCAAAAGAUUGUGGAGCACAUAGACCUGUGGCUUUCUGAGUGCCAGGACACGAGCAGGAGCUGUAUAUAAUUAUUCUUAGCAUGCAAUAAGAUAAUGUGAGGAAUUUAGUAUCAGCUCACUACAACGUGUUUUGACAACCUUCAUGACCAUGAGAGCUAACUUCCAUAAAACACCAUGAUUUUUAAGUGACUACAUAGACAUAGAGAAUCAGUUAGGCUUGAGGAGGAUUCCCUCAAACAAGACAUUGUUAGCAUACCUUUGCAACUUCAAAAGUCCUGUCAAUGCCGUAAUUACAUUCUUGUCAGCAUUCAGCAGUAAGAAUGGUGCAAAGCAAAAUCGAGUUUGUGAAGAGUCCAAGUUAGUGAGUUACAUACCAUUUUUCGAAAAAAAAAGCUCCUUGCAGUGUUGCCACUUGCCACCAUGACUCACCAUUUGAGCCGGGCAACGAACCAGACCCUGCCGUGCUUACUAUUAGAACUCUGAUGUAUAUGCAGUUUUCAUUCUAUUUUUUCUUGCCAAUACCGAACUCAUCCUGUAACAUUUGGCUCAGUUAAAACUUAAAAGCACAAUCACACGUGAUAUUUCUCACUGUAAUUUUACUAGAAAUUCUUUGGCAAACUUCUCAGCCUGUUAAGAAUCUGUGGCCAAUCUGUUAAAUACCUUGAAUGAAUGGAACAAAAGAUUUAAGAAUUUGAUGUCA
This is an RNA transcript of Arachis stenosperma, 2153 nucleotides long. It is a transcript of the gene named probable serine protease EDA2, with no coding region annotated. The record is from RefSeq and is a predicted model, not a curated record. NCBI's taxonomy places the organism in Eukaryota, Viridiplantae, Streptophyta, Magnoliopsida, Fabales, Fabaceae. The transcript has 14 exons.